Phasianus colchicus (ring-necked pheasant) is the source of this 352-nucleotide non-coding RNA. Lineage: Eukaryota; Metazoa; Chordata; Aves; Galliformes; Phasianidae. The record is from RefSeq and is a predicted model, not a curated record.
CCCCCCGCCGCUCAGCACCGUUCCGUCGCGGCGCCGGCACAGAGCGAAGACGCUGCCCUCGUGUGCCCGCGUCUGCUGCCCGAUCUGCCAGCUUGGUGCCGCGGGCGCAGUCCCACACCGACAUCAUGUGCUCGUUGGAGUCGUCCACCACGCAGAGGUAGUGGCGCUGGCGGCGCAGGGGGACGUGGAGGAGGACGACGACGCAGGCGAUGAAGUAAACGAGCUCCCCAGAGGCCAAAACGUGGAGGUUGGAGCGGCUGUCACGGCCACGGUAACCGUAACUGGGGGGUUAAGGGGUGUAACGGGGGGAGGGACACCUGGGAGGGGGACAAAGGGGUGGGGGGGUGGCUGG